AUGAACGCCGGCGGCGUGCCUAAUACAUGCACGUCGAGCGAACAGACGAGGAGCUUGCUCCUCUGACGUUAGCGGCGGACGGGUGAGUAACACGUGGAUAACCUACCUAUAAGACUGGGAUAACUUCGGGAAACCGGAGCUAAUACCGGAUAAUAUAUUGAACCGCAUGGUUCAAUAGUGAAAGACGGUUUUGCUGUCACUUAUAGAUGGAUCCGCGCCGCAUUAGCUAGUUGGUAAGGUAACGGCUUACCAAGGCAACGAUGCGUAGCCGACCUGAGAGGGUGAUCGGCCACACUGGAACUGAGACACGGUCCAGACUCCUACGGGAGGCAGCAGUAGGGAAUCUUCCGCAAUGGGCGAAAGCCUGACGGAGCAACGCCGCGUGAGUGAUGAAGGUCUUCGGAUCGUAAAACUCUGUUAUUAGGGAAGAACAAAUGUGUAAGUAACUAUGCACGUCUUGACGGUACCUAAUCAGAAAGCCACGGCUAACUACGUG
Molecule: ribosomal RNA, 496 nt
Filed under: uncultured bacterium
Lineage: Bacteria
Description: partial 16S ribosomal RNA
Rfam family: Bacterial small subunit ribosomal RNA
Source: RNAcentral